This is a non-coding RNA of Nelumbo nucifera (sacred lotus), 128 nucleotides long. Lineage: Eukaryota; Viridiplantae; Streptophyta; Magnoliopsida; Proteales; Nelumbonaceae. The record is from Rfam.
GAACAAAAGUUUGUCAAGUUAGCCAAGGAACUUGCCCAUGAACCAUGUAAAGGGGUUCUCUGUACACUUGAGAGACCCCCUUCCAAGGACAUAGGCAAGUCAUCCUUGGCUACCAAACAAACUCUUGC